GACGAACGCUGGCGGCGUGCUUAACACAUGCAAGUCGAACGAGUGGCGAACGGGUGAGUAAUACGUGGGUAACCUGCCCUCUUUUUGGGAUAAGCCUUGGAAACGGGGUCUAAUACCGAAUAAAGGGGGGUGGGCUCGCGGCCUAUCAGCUUGUUGGUGGGGUGAUGGCCUACCAAGGCGGUGACGGGUAGCCGGCCUGAGAGGAUGGUCAGCCACACUGGGGCUGAGACACGGCCCAGACUCCUACGGGAGGCAGCAGUGGGGAAUAUUGCACAAUGGGCGCAAGCCUGAUUCAGCCAUGCCGCGUGUAUGAAGGGGUAGGUGGAGAAGAAGCGCCGGCUAACUACGUGCCAGCAGCCGCGGUAAUAC
Molecule: ribosomal RNA, 369 nt
Filed under: uncultured bacterium
Lineage: Bacteria
Description: partial 16S ribosomal RNA
Rfam family: Bacterial small subunit ribosomal RNA
Source: RNAcentral